GCAAGAUACCACGGGCGCACGGCGGAUGCCUUGGCACAGGGAGCCGAUGAAGGACGCGGCAAGCUGCGAUAAUCCCCGGCGAGGAGCACACAUCCUUCGACCCGGGGGUCUCCGAAUGGGCGAACCCAUCCACAGCAGUGUGGAUAUCCCCACCCCGAACGCAUAGGGGCGGGGAGGACAACCCGGGGAACUGAAACAUCUAAGUACCCGGAGGAGAGGAAAUCAAUCUCGAGACUCCCCGAGUAGCGGCGAGCGAAAGGGGACCGAUGGCCAAACCGUCGAGCGGGGAUACCCGGCAGGGGUUCCGCCGGCGGGGUUGCAGGGCCGCGCAUCCGGGGGCUGCCGCCCCCGGGCGCAGGUCCGGCUGGGGAGCGGAACGGCAUGGGAGGGCCGGCCGCAGCGGGUGACAGCCCCGUACGCGAACCCAGACCGGACGGCGCGACGCGGUCCCUGAGUAGGGCCGGGCACGUGAAACCCGGUCCGAACCUGGGUGGACCACCAUCCAAGCCUGAGUACUACCCUGUGACCGAUAGCGCACCAGUACCGUGAGGGAAAGGUGAAAAGCACCCCGGGAGGGGAGUGAAACAGUACCUGAAACCGUGCGCCCACGAGCAGUCGGAGCACCUAUAUGGUGUGACGGCGUGCCUUUUGUAGAAUGAGCCAGCGAGUCGCUGGCGCGGGGCGAGGUUAACCGGAAGGGAGCCGUAGCGAAAGCGAGCCUUAACAGGGCGACUUGAGUCCCGCGCCGCGGACGCGAAGCCGGGUGAGCUAUCCGUGGGCAGGCUGAAGCGGGGGUAAGACCCCGUGGAGGGCCGAACGCACGUCGGUUGAAAACGGCGGCGAUGACCUGCGGAUAGGGGUGAAAGGCCAAUCAAACCCGGAGAUAUCUCGUUCUCCCCGAAAUAGCUUUAGGGCUAGCGUCGCGCGUUCACCGCCGGAGGUAGAGCACCGGAUGGACGAGGGGGCUUCGCCGCCUACCGAAUCCAACCGAACUCCGAAUGCCGGCGGCCCAGAGCGCGGCAGUCAGAGCAUGUGGGCUAAGCUGUGUGCUCGAGAGGGAAACAGCCCGGACCGCCCGCUAAGGUCCCCAAGUUCCAGCCGAGUGGCAAAGGAUGUGCGUCCGCCCAGACAACCAGGAUGUUGGCUUAGAAGCAGCCAUGCAUUCAAAGAGUGCGUAACAGCUCACUGGUCGAGUGGACAUGCGCCGACAAUACACGGGGCUAAGCUGGACACCGAAGCGGCGGGAUUUUAAUUCAUUAGAAUCGGUAGGGGAGCUUCCCAUGGGCGGGGAAGCCGCCGGGCGACCGGCGGUGGAGCGCAUGGGAGUGAGAAUGCUGGCAUGAGUAGCGAGAGACGAGAGAGUAACUCGUCCGCCGUGAACCCGAGGUUUCCUGGGCAAGGCUAAUCCUCCCAGGGUCAGUCGGGGGCUAAGGCGAGGCCGGAAGGCGUAGCCGACGCGCAGCAGGCAGACAUUCCUGCACCGCGCACGCGGCGCUACGACCGACGGGGCGACGGAUGGGGGUGGCUCGGCGGGGUUCUGGACGUCCCCGUGAUGGAGCGCGGCCCGCGGACCAGGGAAAUCCGGUCCGCAGAAGGGCGAGGCUCCGGACGAAGCACUUAAGCGAAGCGAGUGAGCCCGAGGUCCCUAGAAAAACCCCUAGGCAGGCGCGUGCGCGCCCGUACCGCAAACCGACACAGGUGGGUGGGUAGAACAUACCGAGGCGAUCGGGUCAACCAUGGUCAAGGAACUCGGCACAAUGGCCCCGUAACUUCGGGAGAAGGGGUGCCCGCGCGUACGUGAACGGACUUGCUCCGGGAGCGGAGGCGGGCCGCAGUGGAGAGGCCCAAGCGACUGUUUACCAAAAACACAGGACUCUGCAGAAGCCGCAAGGCGACGUAUAGGGUCUGACGCCUGCCCGGUGCCGGAAGGUCACGCGGAGGAGUUAGCCGCAAGGCGAAGCCCCGAAGCCAAGCCCCGGUAAACGGCGGCCGUAACNNNNNNNNNNGCAUCGCGCGAAGCCCCGAAGCCAAGCCCCGGUAAACGGCGGCCGUAACUAUAACGGUCCUAAGGUAGCGAAAUUCCUUGUCGGGUAAGUUCCGACCUGCACGAAAGGCGCAACGACUUGGGCGCUGUCUCGACCAUGGACCCGGUGAAAUUGCACUGGUCGUGAAGAUGCGACUUACCCGCGGAAGGACGGAAAGACCCCGUGAACCUUCACUGCAGCUUGGCAUUGGCCGCUGGUCCCGCGUGUAGAGGAUAGGCAGGAGGCACAGAUCCGGAGGCGCCAGCCCCCGGGGAGCCGCCCUUGGAAUACUGCCCUCGCGCGACCGGCGUCCUAACCCGAGGCCGUCAACCGGCUCGGGGACCGUGCCAGGCGGGCAGUUUGACUGGGGCGGUCGCCUCCUAAAGGGUAACGGAGGCGCGCGAAGGUCCGCUCGGGACGGUCGGCAACCGUCCUUUUGAAUGCAAGAGUACAAGCGGGCUUGACUGCGAGGCCCACGAGCCGAGCAGGUGCGAAAGCAGGCUCUAGUGAUCCGGCGGCCCCGAGUGGGUGGGCCGUCGCUCAACGGAUAAAAGGUACUCCGGGGAUAACAGGCUGAUCUUGCCCAAGAGUCCACAUCGACGGCAAGGUUUGGCACCUCGAUGUCGGCUCAUCGCAUCCUGGGGCUGGAGCAGGUCCCAAGGGUACGGCUGUUCGCCGUUUAAAGCGGUACGCGAGCUGGGUUCAGAACGUCGUGAGACAGUUCGGUCCCUAUCCUCCGUGGGCGCAGGAGAAUCGAUGGAGGCUGCCCCCAGUACGAGAGGACCGGGGUGGACGCACCUCCGGUGAACCGGUUGUCGACCAACGGCACGGCCGGGUAGCCGCGUGCGGCGCGGAUAACCGCUGAAGGCAUCUAAGCGGGAAGCCGUUCCAGGGAUUAGUUCUCCUUCCGGUAAGGGCCCAGGUAGACUACCUGGUCGAUAGACGGCAGGUGCAAGGCUGGCGACAGCCUCAGCCGAGCCGCACUAAUCGCCCGAGCUCUUCC
Molecule: ribosomal RNA, 3027 nt
Filed under: Collinsella sp. AM10-32
Lineage: Bacteria; Bacillati; Actinomycetota; Coriobacteriia; Coriobacteriales; Coriobacteriaceae
Description: bacterial LSU rRNA
Rfam family: Bacterial large subunit ribosomal RNA
Source: RNAcentral